RNAcentral lists this ribosomal RNA (729 nucleotides) under uncultured bacterium. RNAcentral's name for it is "bacterial SSU rRNA". It matches the Rfam family "Bacterial small subunit ribosomal RNA", at positions 771 to 1501 of the family's 1533-position model. The record is from RNAcentral.
AACAGGAUUAGAUACCCUGGUAGUCCACGCCGUAAACGAUGUCGACCAGCCGUUGGGUGCCUAGCGCACUUUGUGGCGAAGUUAACGCGAUAAGUCGACCGCCUGGGGAGUACGGCCGCAAGGUUAAAACUCAAAUGAAUUGACGGGGGCCCGCACAAGCGGUGGAGCAUGUGGUUUAAUUCGGUGCAACGCGAAGAACCUUACCUACUCUUGACAUCCUGCGAAUUUGGUAGAGAUACCUUAGCGCCUUCGGGAACGCAGAGACAGGUGCUGCAUAGCUGUCGUCAGCUCGUGUUGUGAAAUGUUGGGUUAAGUCCCGUAACGAGCGCAACCCUUGUCCUUAUUUGCCAGCGCGUAAUGGCGGGAACUCUAAGGAGACUGCCGGUGACAAACCGGAGGAAGGUGGGGACGACGUCAAGUCAUCAUGGCCCUUACGAGUAGGGCUACACACGUGCUACAAUGGUCGGUACAAAGGGUUGCCAACUCGCGAGAGUGAGCCAAUCCCGAAAAGCCGAUCUCAGUCCGGAUCGGAGUCUGCAACUCGACUCCGUGAAGUCGGAAUCGCUAGUAAUCGUGGAUCAGAAUGCCACGGUGAAUACGUUCCCGGGCCUUGUACACACCGCCCGUCACACCAUGGGAGUGGACUGCACCAGAAGUGGUUAGCCUAACGCAAGAGGGCGAUCACCACGGUGUGGUUCAAGACUGGGGUGAAGUCGUAACAAGGUAACC